Molecule: ribosomal RNA, 226 nt
Filed under: Anaerolineales bacterium
Lineage: Bacteria; Bacillati; Chloroflexota; Anaerolineae; Anaerolineales
Description: partial 23S ribosomal RNA
Rfam family: Bacterial large subunit ribosomal RNA
Source: RNAcentral
GGACGAACCAAUGGUGUGUCAGUUGUCGUGCCAACGGCAUAGCUGAGUAGCCACGUUCGGCAUGGAUAACCGCUGAAAGCAUCUAAGCGGGAAACCAGCCUCAAGAUGAGAUCCCUCACUGGAUAACCAGGUAAGACCGCUAGGAGACGACUAGCUGGAUAGGCGGCAGGUGUAAGUGCAGUAAUGUACUGAGCUGAGCCGUACUAAUGGUCGAGGGCUUACGGUU